CCCGCUGAACUUAAGCAUAUCAAUAAGCGGAGGAAAAGAAACUAACAAGGAUUCCCUUAGUAACUGCGAGUGAAGAGGGAAAAGCUCAAAUUUAAAAUCUGGCAGUGUUUCACUGUCCGAGUUGUAACCUAGAGAAGUGUAACCUGCGCUGGACCGUGUAUAAGUCUCCUGGAAUGGAGCAUCACAGAGGGUGAGAAUCCCGUCUUUGACACGGACUGCCAGGGCUAUGUGAUGCGCUCUCGACGAGUCGAGUUGUUUGGGAAUGCAGCUCAAAUAGGGUGGUAAAUUCCAUCUAAAGCUAAAUACAGGCGAGAGACCGAUAGCGAACAAGUACCGUGAGGGAAAGAUGAAAAGAACUUUGGAAAGAGAGUUAAACAGUACGUGAAAUUGCUGAAAGGGAAACGCUUGAUGUCAGUCGCGUCGUCCGGGGAUCAGCCUUGCUCUUUUGCUCGGUGUAUUUCCUGGUCGACGGGUCAGCAUCGGUUUUGACCGUCGGAAAAUGGCUCGAGGAAUGUGGCACCCUUCGGGGUGUGUUAUAGACUCGGGUCGAAUACGGCGAUUGGGACCGAGGAACUCAGCACGACCUUAGGGUUCGGGGCUUCGGCCCACGUUAACGUGCUUAGGAUGCUGGCAUAAUGGCCUUAAGCGACCCGUCUUGAAACACGG
RNAcentral lists this ribosomal RNA (666 nucleotides) under uncultured fungus. RNAcentral's name for it is "eukaryotic LSU rRNA". It matches the Rfam family "Eukaryotic large subunit ribosomal RNA", at positions 24 to 664 of the family's 3401-position model. Lineage: Eukaryota; Fungi. The record is from RNAcentral.